Molecule: ribosomal RNA, 506 nt
Filed under: uncultured bacterium
Lineage: Bacteria
Description: partial 16S ribosomal RNA
Rfam family: Bacterial small subunit ribosomal RNA
Source: RNAcentral
AGUGAACGCUGGCGGUAGGCCUAACACAUGCAAGUCGAACGGCAGCACAGAGGAGCUUGCUCCUUGGGUGGCGAGUGGCGGACGGGUGAGGAAUACAUCGGAAUCUACUCUGCCGUGGGGGAUAACGUAGGGAAACUUACGCUAAUACCGCAUACGACCUACGGGUGAAAGCAGGGGAUCUUCGGACCUUGCGCGAUUGAAUGAGCCGAUGUCGGUUUAGCUAGUUGGCGGGGUAAAGGGCCACCAAGGCGACGAUCCGUAGCUGGUCUGGGGGGAUGAUCAGCCACACUGGAGCUGAGACACGGUCCAGACUCAUACGGGAGGCAGCAGUGGGGAAUAUUGGACAAUGGGCGCAAGCCUGAUCCAGCCAUACCGCGUGGGUGAAGAAGGCCUUCGGGUUGUAAAGCCCUUUUGUUGGGAAAGAAAUCCAUCUGGUUAAUACCCGGAUGGGAUGACGGUACCCAAAGAAUAAGCACCGGCUAACUUCGUGCCAGCAGCCGCAGUAA